AGUGAACGCUGGCGGUAGGCCUAACACAUGCCAGUCGAACGGCAGCACAGUAAGAGCUUGCUCUUACGGGUGGCGAGUGGCGGACGGGUGAGGAAUACAUCGGAAUCUACUUUUUCGUGGGGGAUAACGUAGGGAAACUUACGCUAAUACCGCAUACGACCUACGGGUGAAAGCAGGGGAUCUUCGGACCUUGCGCGAUUGAAUGAGCCGAUGUCGGAUUAGCUAGUUGGCGGGGUAAAGGCCCACCAAGGCGACGAUCCGUAGCUGGUCUGAGAGGAUGAUCAGCCACACUGGAACUGAGACACGGUCCAGACUCCUACGGGAGGCAGCAGUGGGGAAUAUUGGACAGUGGGCGCAAGCCUGAUCCAGCCAUACCGCGUGGGUGAAGAAGGCCUUCGGGUUGUAAAGCCCUUUUGUUGGGAAAGAAAAGCAGCAGGUUAAUACCCCGCUGUUCUGACGGUACCCAAAGAAUAAGCACCGGCUAACUUCGUG
RNAcentral lists this ribosomal RNA (492 nucleotides) under uncultured bacterium. Its description in RNAcentral is "partial 16S ribosomal RNA". It matches the Rfam family "Bacterial small subunit ribosomal RNA", at positions 29 to 507 of the family's 1533-position model. The record is from RNAcentral.